Long non-coding RNA from Brienomyrus brachyistius, 799 nucleotides. RefSeq lists it as uncharacterized. The record is from RefSeq and is a predicted model, not a curated record. The transcript is spliced from 4 exons. NCBI's taxonomy places the organism in Eukaryota, Metazoa, Chordata, Actinopteri, Osteoglossiformes, Mormyridae.
UUGCAAUACAGUCACAUGACCUUUCACCUCGUCCAGAUUCAUGUCCACCAAUCCGUCUGGGUGCUUAACUUUUUUUUUGUCACUGAGUAUAUUUUGUUUAUUAUCAUCAACAGCUAUGUUCAAAAUUGUGGAGUUUAAGGAGACAAAUGAGGUAGAACUGGUCCCUGGUGUGUGGGUGAAAGAUGGUGUCUGCCACUGGCCCCCCUAUAAAGGAAAGCAGUUGGAUUCAUCAAUGAAGCAUCAGGUCACUCCAGAGCACAGCUGGAUACAGUGGGAAGUCAGAGUGAUGUUUAUAACAGAGAGUAAUGAGGAAGGGAGACGGAAAUGACGGGAAGCUGAACAGCGUUCUGACCUCCAGUCAGAAGCUGAAGAGUCUGGGAAAAAGAAAAGGCGAAAAAUGCCAAGUAACAGACUUCUAGAUGCCACUAAUGGUGCUUCAAGUGAGAGUGAAGAAGAAGCAGGACUGCAGCAAAGUGACAGACGUCUACCUGAGGCCCCACCAAUCAGCCAAGUUAAAAUUUUAACACCAUUGCAGACUGCUAAUACUGGAAGUCGCAGUACUAUUCCCUGGCUGAAGAAUCCACUUCUCCCUCUGGAAAUGAUGUGGCAACCUACUGAUGCCCUACGUGGAGAGCAUGAGCUAAACAAAAACCGUGCAGACUUGUUUUCCUCACCACCACCUCAUCCAGAGCCUUCAAAAGUUCAGAAGUCCUGGAUACCAUCUGAAGUUAAUCAGUUUCACCAAGACCAUUCAAAAACUUGACACCACCAUCACAGCUACAAAGGACUCUUGCUGAAG